Molecule: long non-coding RNA, 1853 nt
Organism: Catharus ustulatus (Swainson's thrush)
Lineage: Eukaryota; Metazoa; Chordata; Aves; Passeriformes; Turdidae
Exons: 14
Source: RefSeq, a predicted model, not a curated record
GAACCUGCUGCAGCAGAGUGACCUGCUUCCUGCAGAAGGUGCAAUCUGCAGGUGUGAACUCACCUGUGGCCUGCCUUGAGCGAACAGGCCACCAUGCUAGAUAAAAUUUCUUUAAGGCACCUGAGAGAAUGAGAAAGAACACCUCCAGAGAGCAGCCUGCUGAUAGAACCUACGCCUAACAAUAUGAUUAAAAGCAUGAAACUGCAUGGGGAAACACAAGAAGGCUUGUCUCUGCAGACAGGCAAGGUGAGGGCAUGAAGAUGUAUAACUGUCCCAGGUGGGAGAAGAGUACAGCUUACCCCCUCAGGAUUUGAAUCAGGAAACUGAAAUGCAUCCUGAAAUUUACUUUGCCCAGAGGUCUAGGAAAGCUGGAGCAAGUGGGAAAAGCUUCUUUCUACAUAAAUGCAGUUGACCAGAGGAGCAGCAUUCAUUAGAAUCUGAAUGAGAAGAGAGAAGGGGAUAUAUAGCAAUUUAUGGGUUGUAAGGUGUCUGACCCUUACUCUUCUACCACAGGAAAAUCUUGGAUUUCUUAUAGAGAAACUAUGAACAACUUAUGUAUAAAUGGAAAAACAGCACUUCAGUUGUUCAAGAAAACCAGCAUUGUAAUACAGAAGGCAAUGAAUGAAGGACUCCUUUUUUCUGCAUGCUCAUAGAAUACGUGAGCUCUGCUGUCCUCAAAUUGCUCUCCAUUUAGAUGCACCGUGCAGGGGAUCUGGGUCGUGCAGCACCCACUGACUUGGAGCAGGGGGGAUGUUGGAAAUCCCUUCUGAGGCAACCCCUACUCCAAACCCACCUCCAGUUCCAGGCCUUAUCAAUUCCAGGCCUUAUCACAGCUAUCAUGGGAUUAAUAAGAUACAUUGUCCCCAGGAAAAUAUGUGCGCUCAUGGAGAACCUCAUUGACAUUGCUGCAGAGAGAGACUCUGUUUAUUGGCCCUGGGGGCUGACAAGAAACUGACACCUGUGCCCAAACAUUUUCCAAACCUUGGCAUCAACAGGCACAUUCAUUAUGCAGCAGAGUUGUAGAUCCAUGUGUCCUCAAGGCAGAGGAGAGCAGCAGACUUUACCCUUGCAAGGAAGAGCAGGCAGCUUGUCUGAUCUUGGCAUUAUUUCCAAACUUGGAAGACAGAAAAGGAUGAGACUGAGAGCAUACUGAGAUUCACAGUGGCAGGAAACAGAGUGAAUAUGUGAAGAGUGAUAAAGGUGAUCAGGCUUCUGGAGCAGCUUCCAUAUGAUGAAGGAAAUUUGACAAUCUUCAGCCUGGAGUAGAAUCAACUGACAAAGAAUUUGAUAGAGAUUUACAGGACUGGGAAUGACAGGAAAAGGUGCUGUGCAGCCUGGGCACUUGGACUCAUCUUCUCUGCCAGGUGCUUGUUCAGCUGCUUGUUCCAGCCUGAAGAAGAGCCUGAACACAAAUUGGCAGAAUCUAUGCAGCAAGGCUCUGAAAACCAUCUCCAGUGAUCCAGAAAGCCUCAUAGCAAGCAGAAGAAGUCCUGCUCCUUGUCACUGUGAUUAUGGAGAUGCAGGAAGCAGGGAAGAAGAAGGAGCAACAAAUACGAGCCUUUGAAAGCUGGUAUUUAUGGUCUUGUGCUCCAAACUGUAAACAUGAGAGUAAGAAUUUCUUCUUUGAGGUGGGUCCAAAAUCAGUUGACAUUUGAACAGUUAUUUAAUUCUGCAUUUUUCCUUUUUCACAACUGUCUUGAUGUUCAUCAAAUAGCUAAAAUUCAGAAGGUGAUGAAAAUUGUGGACCUUAUUUUUGCUAAGUCAUAUGAAAAAUGCCCACUCCAGGAGACUGACUCGAUUUUGAAACUAAUAUUUCUGAUUAUUUUCUAUAUUUUAAAAUAAUUAUUGGGAUU